Molecule: long non-coding RNA, 227 nt
Filed under: Sorghum bicolor (sorghum)
Lineage: Eukaryota; Viridiplantae; Streptophyta; Magnoliopsida; Poales; Poaceae
Description: long non-coding RNA (SBIC_LNC014626)
Source: RNAcentral
AUGCUAAAAAAUUCAUUUUAUUGUGAUGAGUGAUUUGACCAAAGAUCAAAAACAUUUCAAACAUAUUUUAAAAUGGAUUUGAAAUAGGUUUUGAAAUAAAAGAAGAAGAAAAAAAAGGAAAUAAGACCUCACAUCCCUCCUGAAUCUCGGCCCAAGCUAGCCGGCCCUCUCCCCCUCGCCGCGGCCCAGCUUCCCCCUUCUCCAUCUGUGUGCAGCACCAGCCCGCC